CGUACACUCCUGCGGGAGGCAGCAGUGGGGAAUAUUGCACAAUGGGCGCAAGCCUGAUGCAGCCAUGCCGCGUGUAUGAAGAAGGCCUUCGGGUUGUAAAGUACUUUCAGCGGGGAGGAAGGCAAUACGGUUAAUAACCGUGUUGAUUGACGUUACCCGCAGAAGAAGCACCGGCUAACUCCGUGCCAGCAGCCGCGGUAAUACGGAGGGUGCAAGCGUUAAUCGGAAUUACUGGGCGUAAAGCGCACGCAGGCGGUCUGUCAAGUCGGAUGUGAAAUCCCCGGGCUCAACCUGGGAACUGCAUUCGAAACUGGCAGGCUUGAGUCUUGUAGAGGGGGGUAGAAUUCCAGGUGUAGCGGUGAAAUGCGUAGAGAUCUGGAGGAAUACCGGUGGCGAAGGCGGCCCCCUGGACAAAGACUGACGCUCAGGUGCGAAAGCGUGGGGAGCAAACAGGAUUAGAAACCCCUGUAGUCCC
Molecule: ribosomal RNA, 475 nt
Filed under: uncultured organism
Description: partial 16S ribosomal RNA
Rfam family: Bacterial small subunit ribosomal RNA
Source: RNAcentral